RNAcentral lists this long non-coding RNA (1070 nucleotides) under Pavo cristatus (Indian peafowl). Its description in RNAcentral is "lncRNA (ENSPSTG00000018488.1)". Lineage: Eukaryota; Metazoa; Chordata; Aves; Galliformes; Phasianidae. The record is from RNAcentral.
UGAACCCUCAGCUCAAGGCCAGCGCUGUUGGCAGGACCAUGAAGCAAGCAGCAAGUCCAAGUGCUGCAGCUAGGUGGCAAUCCAGGAUGAGGCUAAAGAGGAAGGACAGCACGCAGUAUCCAAGAGACACUUCUUUAUUUCUUACAAAAGAUAGCAGUGUUAAAAAUCGGUAUGUGAAAGAUUUACUUGUUAAUAGAAAAGAUGUUUGUCAUUUUAGGCUGCUUUUGAAACCAGAACUGCUUGGGAAAUUUGGCUAAACAGCUCUUCAAUAAAACUGUAAUAUCUCCUGAAGGUGGUGCCCAGUUAACAGCAGAGUGACCAGCAUGAAAACCUUGAGUGGGAAAAAAGAAAACACCUUCUGCAUGGCCAUUAGUCUGUGUCCAGGCACCUCCUGGUGUGAGAAAGGUGCAACUCUGCAUUUAGAGGAAGCAGAGCAAGAACUGCUGCCCGUGUAAAUGACUGCUGGGCUAUUUCUGGAUCUCUUGUUUAGUGCUAAUAAACCCUAAAGCUUUGAAGCUAGGAUUUCACCCAGAUGGGAAGAGGAAAAUAUUUGAACUAUCACAAAUAUUUACAUGGAUGGAAACUGUAGAGCUGUAACUGUAACUGCAGCUCUCCAUUCACCUGCCUUAAAAGGUGCCUUUCCCUUUGCUGUCAAGGGAAGCUUUCUGCAUGUCUCCAAGCAGCUUGUCAAGCACCGGACUACAAGCAGGGAAACCUUACAGCACUGCUGGGACACGUGCAGAUAUUAGUCCUUCAUUUUAUACACAAGCACUUCCAUCAUCAUCCACGGGAUCAGAAGCUGCUCAGCACCUCAGUGCACACAACCGCGGUGGUAAUGUGAAGAAGGAUCUGCACUGUCAAAACACACAUAACAACAUUCCUCAGCGGUGCAUUACUGGAGAAAAACAGACAUGAAAAAGUGUCCUUUCUGGGGUCCCGUGACUUCGAGGAGCAAUACAAAUGGAAAAAAUAAAAUAAAAUCUCAGAGAUUAGUUCCAGCCCUUUCUUGCUGAUUCAGUUUUAUGUGGAAUAAGAAUGGUAAUAUUUCCAAGUUGCCAGAUGUAUUCAAA